UUGGGGUCCACUUCGGUGGCGCGCACACAGGUGCUGCAUGGCUGUCGUCAGCUCGUGUCGUGAGAUGUUGGGUUAAGUCCCGCAACGAGCGCAACCCACGUCCUUAGUUGCCAUCAUUCAGUUGGGCACUCUAGGGAGACUGCCGGUGAUAAGCCGCGAGGAAGGUGUGGAUGACGUCAAGUCCUCAUGGCCCUUACGGGAUGGGCUACACACGUGCUACAAUGGCGGUGACAGUGGGACGNNAAGGAGCGAUCUGGAGCAAAUCCCCAAAAGCCGUCUCAGUUCGGAUUGCACUCUGCACCUUGGGUGC
RNAcentral lists this ribosomal RNA (310 nucleotides) under Methylobacterium sp. MA1.1. RNAcentral's name for it is "bacterial SSU rRNA". It matches the Rfam family "Bacterial small subunit ribosomal RNA", at positions 1008 to 1319 of the family's 1533-position model. Lineage: Bacteria; Pseudomonadati; Pseudomonadota; Alphaproteobacteria; Hyphomicrobiales; Methylobacteriaceae. The record is from RNAcentral.